AAAGCUUGCUUUUCUUGAUUUUGGGAUGAUGAGUGAAACUCCUGAAGAAGCAAGAUUUGCUAUUAUUGGUCAUGUUGUUCACAUGGUCAAUCGGGAUUAUGAAGCGAUGGCUCGUGACUACUAUGCUUUAGACUUUUUGUCUCCCAAUGUGGAUGUUUCUCCAAUUGUACCAGCAUUACGAGACUUCUUCGAUGAUGCACUUAAUUCAACAGUAAGCGAACUUAACUUCAAAACACUUGUAGAUGGUCUGGGUGCUGUGUUAUAUCAAUAUCCCUUUAAUGUUCCGGCUUAUUACGCAUUGAUUUUGAGAUCUCUCACUGUUUUAGAAGGUUUAGCAUUAUAUGCUGAUCCUAAGUUUAAAGUACUGGCUGCUUCAUAUCCAUAUUUUGCUAAAAGGCUUCUUACAGAUCCUAAUCCAUAUCUGAGAGAUGCUCUCAUUGAGUUACUUUUCAAGGAUGGGAAAUUCAGGUGGAGUAGACUUGAAAACUUGCUUGUCCAGGGAAAGAAAGACAGGGACUUUUCUGCAAAAGAUGCGUUGCAACCUGUCCUGAAGUUGUUGUUGGGUCCAGAUGGUAAAGAAUUAAGGGAUUUGGUUAUCAAAGAAGCAAUCCGUGUCAGUGAAGCUAUUAUUCUGGGUUCAGCUAUUGAAUCAUUUAAUUCUGUUCCUGGUCCCAUGAGGACUUUUGUUUUCAAUGGAAAUGCAAGUGGUCCCUUUACAAUAAGUGCUGCUGAGCAACAGAGCUUAAUGGAACUUAGGGCACAGGUGAUCAAGAUAUGGGGACUAUUGCAAUCCUCAGAGAAUUUUGAUCCGAAUCUUUUGCAACCAAUUUUGCAGGUACUUCAAGAACCAGAAGCACGCAGUAUUGGAGGGCGCGUAGUUGGUGGAAUAUCUCAACGUCUUGCAGCGCGCUUACUGCAACAAGUUCUUCGUGCACCUGAAACAACUGCUGCUGCAUAAUUGUGUCCUGAACUUUAAUAUAAUGUAACUGUCCAUAAACAUAUUUUAACCUGUCAAAGGAAGGUCAUAUAGAAAAUAAAUCACAUCAGAUGCAACAAUCAAUAAUUCAAGGCAAUUGUCUUUUAAUUUCCUAAGUUGGGUUAAAUAUAAAAUCUAAAUGUGCUCGAGUUGCAGACAGGCAAGGAAGAUGUCUAGAACUCAGACAACUUAUAGAAAAAUCUCAAUACAUUUGGGGCUUAAUUACAUUCACUCUCGGAAGUUUUUUCAAUUACAAAAAUCUUGGGAUGUGUCAUUGUUCUUGGAUACAUUCCUUGGUGGUCAUUACUUAAUGGAAGGGAUGUGUCUGAGAGGUGGGAG
Molecule: unclassified non-coding RNA, 1315 nt
Filed under: Hevea brasiliensis (rubber tree)
Lineage: Eukaryota; Viridiplantae; Streptophyta; Magnoliopsida; Malpighiales; Euphorbiaceae
Source: RNAcentral